RNAcentral lists this ribosomal RNA (236 nucleotides) under Ruminococcus turbiniformis. RNAcentral describes it as "partial 23S ribosomal RNA". It matches the Rfam family "Bacterial large subunit ribosomal RNA", at positions 2691 to 2925 of the family's 2925-position model. The record is from RNAcentral. Lineage: Bacteria; Bacillati; Bacillota; Clostridia; Eubacteriales; Oscillospiraceae.
ACCGGGAUGGACUGGCCGCUGGUGUAUCUGUUGUUUUACCAAGAGCAUAGCAGAGUAGCCAAGCCGGGAAGGGAUAAACGCUGAAGGCAUCUAAGCGUGAAGCCCCCCUCAAGAUGAGAUAUCCCAUGACGUCAAGUCAGUAAGACCCCUUGAAGACGACGAGGUAGAUAGGGCAGAGGUGGAAGUGCAGUAAUGCAUGGAGCUGACUGUUACUAAUAGGUCGAGGGCAUAACCAA